Molecule: ribosomal RNA, 324 nt
Filed under: uncultured eukaryote
Lineage: Eukaryota
Description: partial 18S ribosomal RNA
Rfam family: Eukaryotic small subunit ribosomal RNA
Source: RNAcentral
CCCUUAGAUGUUCUGGGCCGCACGCGCGCUACACUGAUGCAUUCAACGAGUUUCUUCCUGGUCCGAGAGGAAUGGGUAACCUUUUGAAAGUGCAUCGUGAUAGGGAUAGACUAUUGCAAUUAUCAGUCUUCAACGAGGAAUUCCUAGUAGACGUAGUUCAUCAGACUGCAUCGAUUACGUCCCUGCCCUUUGUACACACCGCCCGUCGCUCCUACCGAUUGAAUGCUCAGGUGAGCCAUUCGGACUUUCAUCAUGCUGGUUUCCAGUUUUGAUGAAGGAAAGUCUUGCGAACCUUAUCAUUUAGAGGAAGGAGAAGUCGUAACA